Molecule: ribosomal RNA, 492 nt
Filed under: uncultured bacterium
Lineage: Bacteria
Description: partial 16S ribosomal RNA
Rfam family: Bacterial small subunit ribosomal RNA
Source: RNAcentral
AGUGAACGCUGGCGGUAGGCCUAACACAUGCAAGUCGAACGGCCGCACAGUAAGAGCUUGCUCUUACGGGUGGCGAGUGGCGGACGGGUGAGGCAUACAUCGGAAUCUACUUUUUCGUGGGGGAUAACGUAGGGAAACUUACGCUAAUACCGCAUACGAUCUACGGGUGAAAGCAGGGGAUCUUCGGACCUUGCGUGUCUGAAUGAGCCGAUGUCGGAUUAGCUAGUUGGCGGGGUAAAGUCCCACCAAGGCGACGAUCCGUAGCUGGUCUGAGAGGAUGAUCGGCCACACUGGAACUGAGACACGGUCCAGACUCCUACGGGAGGCAGCAGUGGGGAAUAUUGGGCAAUGGGCGCAAGCCUGAUCCAGCCAUACCGCGUGAGUGAAGAAGGCCUUCGGAUUGUAAAGCCCUUUUGUUGGGAAAGAAAAGCAGCAGGUGAAUACCCCGCUGUUCUGACGGUACCCAAAGAAUAAGCAACGGCUAACUUCGUG